UCGUCGAUUUUCCCGGCACAGGAAGCGCAGAAGGUAGCGAAGCGAGUGUAGGAGACGCUUUCAGAGAAGCAUAGUUGAAAUGAACCAAUUGAUAGAACUGAUUGCCGAUAUACCGCCCUUAUCAACCUCGUUCAAAAACUCCCCGACGAACUUCACCACGAUACAAUGGUUCCGUUUGUGAAAUCGGCGGUUUUUCCUGGUCGUUUGGUUCACACGAAUGAGUUUCUGGUUCUACUGGGAGAAAGCUACUAUGUAGAAAGAACAGCUAAACAAACUAGUGAAAUUCUAAAGAGAAGGGGAAAGUCAUCGGAACCUGAAGUGGAUUGAGUCUUCUGAAGCAGCAUUAAGUUUCCCAAUCGCCUUAUUUGUUGUUUGUUAAUUCGUUGAAUAAGCAUUACUCUGAUUUCUUUUGUACCUAGUAUUUACUGAUUACUUUCAUUUUAUUGUUACAGGAAGGCCUUGUGGAGCUCAGAGAAGAGGAUGAAGAGGAAAAUACCACCGAACCGGUGUCUCAAUUAGGCAGAGGUUCCUUCUCCUUUUCUUUUUCACAUUACUUGCAUCAUAUUGAAACUUUGGAGUCUGUUUAAUUUAGCGAAGAUGAUAUGCCAGCUGCUUGAUUCUAAGUUGAUACUUCAUACUAACCUAAUUGCAGCGCCAGUUGCUUGCGCAACAUGUUGCAUUACUUGUUCCUAUACUGUUAGAUUUUUUAUUGCCAAGGUGUUCCGUAUCAUGCAGCCUACUUAUCUGAUGAAUGUUAGUUUUCUUUUCCUAAUUGAUUAGGAUUAAUUAAAAAGGUUAUUGAUUACUUUUCUGAAGUUGAGGAUUGAAAUUAAUUUAUUUUUUUCCCUUUUCACGUCAUUUGGAGCAAGGAUGUCCUACUUUUGCUGAAGAAAACAAAUUAAUGGGUGCACCUGAGGAUGAUGAAUAUGCUCGUAUAAUGUCGAGGUUGGAAGAACUUGAGAAAGAACUUGCAGCUAAAAGUUAUGGAGAGAAUGAAAAGUGGGAUACUAAUGCUGCCGAAAGUGAUGGUGAAGAAGAUUAGCAGAGUAAAGUUGUUUCUUCACAAAAACGAAGCUGAAGGUUACAGUUCUCUUGAUCAUGGUCCUAGAUAUUAAGGGGUGUAUCAGCCCAGGAAACCACUUCUGCAGUCAAAAGGCAAAGAUCCAAUGAGUGAAGAGAUCUCUAAUAAAUAUCAGUUAGCUGUAAGAGUCUACUGGAUUUACUGUGGGACCUGUUAUCAAAGGUGAAAUGUCUCAUAGUCAAUGUAUGCCUCAAGCCACCGAGAUAAGGAUGUUAUAUCCUUCCAUAAAUGCAUCUGUUCCUUCUGAAAAGGUGAAAUCUGAAGCUGAACAUUCAUCAAGAGACGAGUUUUCAGGGACAGUUGCUCUCACUACAGCUUGAAUACCAGGAAAUGCAAGGUAAUGUGUCUUUUUUUCUCCUUUAUACCUUUCAUAUACUUUUUGCAAUAGCUAAGCUUGCAUUAAGAUUU
Molecule: long non-coding RNA, 1489 nt
Organism: Gossypium raimondii (Peruvian cotton)
Lineage: Eukaryota; Viridiplantae; Streptophyta; Magnoliopsida; Malvales; Malvaceae
Exons: 7
Source: RefSeq, a predicted model, not a curated record